RNAcentral lists this ribosomal RNA (1243 nucleotides) under 'Elaeagnus sp.' witches'-broom phytoplasma. Its description in RNAcentral is "bacterial SSU rRNA". It matches the Rfam family "Bacterial small subunit ribosomal RNA", at positions 153 to 1399 of the family's 1533-position model. Lineage: Bacteria; Bacillati; Mycoplasmatota; Mollicutes; Acholeplasmatales; Acholeplasmataceae. The record is from RNAcentral.
GAAACGACUGCUAAGACUGGAUAGGAGACAAGAAGGCAUCUUCUUGUUUUUAAAAGCUAGCAUAGGUAUGCUUAGGGAGGAGCUUGCGUCACAUUAGUUAGUUGGUGGGGUAAAGGCCUACCAAGACUAUGAUGUGUAGCUGGGCUGAGAGGUUGAACGGCCACAUUGGGACUGAGACAUGGCCCAAACUCCUACGGGAGGCAGCAGUAGGGAAUUUUCGGCAAUGGAGGAAACUCUGACCGAGCAACGCCGCGUGAACGAUGAAGUAUUUCGGUACGUAAAGUUCUUUUAUUAGGGAAGAAUAAAUGAUGGAAAAAUCAUUCUGACAGUACCUAAUGAAUAAGCCCCGGCUAACUAUGUGCCAGCAGCCGCGGUAAUACAUAGGGGGCAAGCGUUAUCCGGAAUUAUUGGGCGUAAAGGGUGCGUAGGCGGUUAAAUAAGUUUAUGGUCUAAGUGCAAUGCUCAACAUUGUGAUGCUAUAAAAACUGUUUAGCUAGAGUAAGAUAGAGGCAAGUGGAAUUUCAUGUGUAGUGGUAAAAUGCGUAAAUAUAUGGAGGAACACCAGUAGCGAAGGCGGCUUGCUGGGUCUUUACUGACGCUGAGGCACGAAAGCGUGGGGAGCAAACAGGAUUAGAUACCCUGGUAGUCCACGCCGUAAACGAUGAGUACUAAACGUUGGGUAAAACCAGUGUUGAAGUUAACACAUUAAGUACUCCGCCUGAGUAGUACGUACGCAAGUAUGAAACUUAAAGGAAUUGACGGGACUCCGCACAAGCGGUGGAUCAUGUUGUUUAAUUCGAAGGUACCCGAAAAACCUCACCAGGUCUUGACAUGCUUCUGCAAAGCUGUAGAAACACAGUGGAGGUUAUCAGUUGCACAGGUGGUGCAUGGUUGUCGUCAGCUCGUGUCGUGAGAUGUUGGGUUAAGUCCCGCAACGAGCGCAACCCUUAUUGUUAGUUACCAGCACGUAAUGGUGGGGACUUUAGCAAGACUGCCAGUGAUAAAUUGGAGGAAGGUGGGGACGACGUCAAAUCAUCAUGCCCCUUAUGACCUGGGCUACAAACGUGAUACAAUGGCUGUUACAAAGGGUAGCUGAAGCGCAAGUUUUUGGCGAAUCUCAAAAAAACAGUCUCAGUUCGGAUUGAAGUCUGCAACUCGACUUCAUGAAGUUGGAAUCGCUAGUAAUCGCGAAUCAGCAUGUCGCGGUGAAUACGUUCUCGGGGUUUGUACACACCGCCCGUCA